AUAUUUCUUUUUCGGGUUGAAAAGCCUAGAGUGAUAUUCGAUAGGAGCGUUGGUGUUCUUUGGUUGUUGGUCUAAGGUGAUCGGAGGUAUUCUGAGAACUUCCGAUCGACCAUCGAGGAACAUCGACCGUGUCAUUUCCGGUUAUCUACGAUCGGGGGUGUCACAGUCGGCCUGUUAGAGAGUGACUUUCCACGUGGAUAGCUUAGGAGAGAGGAAAACAUAUAUAUCUAUAUAUAUAGAUAUUAUGAUAGCAUUUAAAAUAUUUAGGAAGGGCUUCCUGAAAAUUUAAUAUUUAAUUAAAAAGAAAAAAUAUUUGGAUUCCCACGUGAAUGAAUAUUGAACAUAUUUGAUUCUGGAUAUAGUAAAAAAUAGUGAUUUAACCGCUAUAAUACAGUGGAAAAUUGUUAAGUUAGAAAAUUUUAUGCGCCUUCUAAACAAACUGAGUGAGAUGCAUUUAGUAUUGUUAGAGAAGAUGAUACAUGUUUUCCUCGCUAGGAGCAUUGUAACAGUGAAGAAAAAUGCAGAAUGGGCAUGGUUCUAUUCUGUAACAUUAGUCAUAGUUAAAACUUAAUUGUAUAUAUUGUGUAAAAUAUUUAGUAUGAGCUUCCAAGAACAUAUUCUGAAUGAUAUCGUAUGGAUUAUAGUGGCUAGCUGAUGGGUUAGGAUAUUAUAUCUAUCGGGCUAGCUAAUAAAAAAUUGUAUUAAAUCGUUUGUAUAUUAAAUUGGAAGGGGAAAGUGUAUGGAUUUCGAGUGGAAUUGAACGCAUGUAUGUGUGGUUCAAGUAUAGUAAGAGUAAUGAUUUAGCCUAUAGGUUACACUGGAACAUAUAACAUUUAGGAUAACAAUUAAAAUAUUUAGGAAGGGCUUCCAAGAAAUUUAAUAUUCAAUCAAAAAGGAAAAAAAAUUGGAUUCAAACACGGAACAUAUUUGAUUUUGGAUAUAUAUAUAUAUAGUAAAAAUAGUGAUUUAGCCGCUAGACUAUGGUGGAAUAUUGUUCAUAUCAAAAAUUUAAAUGUAUACAUUUACAAAAGUACAAAUCACCUAUUCAUGAAAACUUGAGGAAAUGUGCAAGUAGAUAAAUCUCUACCAUGGAGAUAUGCUUUCAGCGUAACCUUUAACCUAUGUUUCUAUCAAGUGAAAAGCAUUGACAUUUUUUUUCUCUCUUUGUAUAUUUAGCUAAUUUUGGAAUGACGUCAAAAAAAGAAGAAGCUAAUUUUGCAAUAUUUUGAAAGAGUUAUUACAUGUUUAGGAAAUGUAUCAUGAAUAAUUCAAGAGAAAAGAUAUUAUUUUUGCAAAUUGGCAAUGAUUACUUUCAUCUCCUUUUCAUUUCUCUUCACAUUCUUGCUAUUUACUACAACAAACUCUUUAACAACUAAUAGUAACCUAUUUACCAAUGUUGACAAACUCCAUGGAUGAAGAAUCCUCUUGAUAUAGCCUAUCUACUAAUAAAUUUUCACAAUGUGAUAUGACUUCAACUUUUGCAUCUUCCACAACAUUCUUCUGCCUGAAAAGUUACUGAUUUUCAUAUGUACAUAUUGAUAGCUCCGCUUGCAGAUUAUCGUUUCCCUAAUGAACCUCGUUUAACUCAGCAAGAAGCAACUUAACUUUUCUUCUAGAUUUUACUGCCACCAACACAGCAGAAGACACAACUGAACUCAUAUUCUAAAACAGUUGUGAGAUCUACUGAAGCAGAACUGGGUCAUAUAUGUCACCUAUGUCACCAAUAUUGAUGCUAUUCAACGCAUUCCUGCAAAAUAGUUUCUAUUCUGCAAAUAAUUUUUCAAAAAUUGGCAUUUAGACUCUGCCCUCACAGUAUAAAAUUCCAACUCCAAAGUAAAACAUAAAAACGUAAUAUAAGGGAACUUUAAAAUAGAACCUCUCAUUCAUAACACACUGAAAUGAGAAAGACAAUCUAGUUGCACCAAAGUCAGACUGAUUCACUGUAAUUAAAACGAAACGCUCCACAAAGGAGUAAGUUGUCCAACAAAUGCAAAGCAAGCUGAAAAUAACUUUCUAUACAUUGAUCUACAAACAAACAUAGAUAACUGAAUACAAACAAACAGAAGUCUUUACUACAAACAUAGAAUGAUGAUAAAUUUCCUAAAUCCUUCCAAAGCAAUUGAAAUGAAAACAACAUAAUCACUCUAACUGAAACAAAAUCACACGAAUCCAUCAAAAUGUGAUCAUCGUAUAGCUGUGAAUCAGAGACAGUUCAUGAUAACUCUACUAAAUCAUGGAUGAAACAUUCCAAAUCAAACGAAAAUCAAUUAAAAGGAACAAAAUCAAAUAUAAUUGAACCCUAAAACCACAAAUCCUAUCAAAUUAAACAUCAAUAUAGUAAAAAGUGUGAGUAACUUGGAACAAAAGCAUUGUCGAUAGAUCAUUUAUAUAUAAUUUUGUAUAAAAAUUAAUCAUCAACAUGAUACAAAAUACUUUGACAGGUUAACAACGAGAUACCGCAAAAGUGACGGAGAUUGUCGAAGAUAAUGACAUCAAAAUUUUUAAUGGCGCAACGAUUGGAGCUGAGGGAGACAGACGUAGAUUAUGACAACGAAGAUUAGCGACGCCGGCGAUGAGCGAUGCCGAAGAUGACAACGGUGGAGAUGAGAAAUGCCGGCGAUGACAACGGCAGAGAUAUGAAACGCCGAAACCGUCGAGGUAAGUUUCCAAAAAAAUAUAAAAUGUAAUUAAAAGAGAAGACAAGAGGGUAAAAUAGUAAAUAUCAAUAUUAAAUAAAAUAUUUUUGUGAUUUUGAACCUUGAGGUCUAGAAUGAGAAGAAAAAAUUGCUAUAGGACUAUCUAAGACCAUUUCUUUUAAAUGUUCAUACACCUUUCUAUGUAGACGUUUUAAUUCUUGCCAAAUAAUUUUGCCAAGCAAUAUAUCACUUUCUCCAUCGUGAGGAUAUCACCAAAAACUACAAAAAAAUUCAAUACCAUAUACAUCCAUAGUUUCUGACAUGACGUAAACCACAAAAAAAAAAGUAAUUGUCAGGUUCAUUCUUAGUCUUUCAUUGGUGAUAAUGUAUGUUGUUAUACAAUUUUCUCUCGUGUACUCAUAUUUAUAGUUCAACAUUCAAUAGAAUUUUAAAUCUGAUUUAUUUUUCGUGAAUUUCCUGGUAAAAAUUAAAUCCAUAUUUUUUUAUACAUUAAUUAUUAAUUAAAAUACCACAAAAGUAAACAUAUGAGCUUUCCACACAUAAUUUUGGAAGAUCUUAAAAAAAUCAUAACCAAAUCCCCACAAUAUCUUCUCAAUCAAAUCAACCACAAUUUUUUUAAAGACAUUUUGAAUUUAUUGAUCAUCAUCAAAGAUAAUUUAUACAAAGAAUACUAUUCUAAAAAGAAUGAGGUUCCGUAUAACUAUAGAAGAAAAUUGAAAUUUGUACUAAGAGCUCCAUGCUUACUCAAAAUCUUCAAACCACCUUCUUAGAAGUCCUUCAAGUUUGUGAUUUCCCUUAUAACCCUUGACAACUUUAUUAUUCAUGAUGAUCAUCUGAUCUGUUCCCUGAUGCCCUUGUUGGUGCCUUCUAAUAUUUCUCUCCCACCAGACAUGAUAGACUAUCACUUGAAAAAUUAAGUUAGCGAAUGAGAAACUGAUCGAUGUGAGUAAAAGCUCCUUCAUGCACAAAGCUGAGCAUAUCUGACCAAUCUGGGUUGAUUCUCCUUCCUAUGAGCCUGCCUGCAACUUUGUCCCAUAUAGUAUAUGCAUAGGGACACACAACCACAAUUUUACAGGCGACUAUAUUUAACAAACUGCAACCAAUUUUGAAAAUAUGUUUAGAAUCAACAUAGUUUUUACCGAAAUCUUACAUUAUGCUCACAAUAUCCAAACAACUAAUAAUAAUAAUAAAAAAUUCUCAGUUUUCUUUCUUGGAAAAGGCUGAACAGUCAUAGAUAUGGGGAAUUUUUAUGUUUACCACAUUUUUGGUACUAUUAUUCAUGUUUACCUUCAUUAAAGAGAUAUUUUUACAAGUAUAUUCUUCAUUAAAGAAGCAAAAGACUCUUAUACCUUUGCUUUAUAGAUAUCAAGAUAUCUAAAUAUACAUAAUAAUUAAAUAAAUAAUAAAAGUAAAAUAAAUAAAUUUUUAAUAACUAUACGUUUUCAAGAUCAAAAUUUUUUAUAUUUUUUUAGUUUUCGAUUUUUUUAAUUUCUCUUUUGUCAAUUUAAAAAUUCUUUUUAAAACUAUUUAUUUUAUUUUUUAAAAAUAAGUAUUAAUUUAUAUUUAUCUACUCUAUUAAAACAACUAUAAAGCCACCUAAAUCAAUUUAAGUAUUUAUUUACUAAAUUUAGACACAAUAUUUUUUUUAAGAUAUAUAGUUAUAAUUUUCAUUAUUUAUUAAUAGUAACUAAAAACCACAUAAAAAGAAUCAUUUAUAUAAUAUAUUAAUAAACAUAUAUAAAUGAAAAUAUAUUAUUUUAUAUAAAAUAACCCAAUAUAGGUGUUGAAGAGUAUAAAAUUCUGAUCCGUAAUAAAAUGAAAAUACAUUCAUGCGGAUGUUCGGGUAAAACUCUCAAAACGAAUGACAAAAUCGACAUCUCAAAAAUAAAAUAUAAUUAUUCAGUAUAAACUAUAAAAUUAUUAUGUUUUUGAAAUGUCAUCUUAAACAAUUAUUUAAUAUAAUCCACAUUUCUCGACGUUAGUUUCUUAUCUGAAACCUACAUAAAUGUUUUGUGCUUUAUAGCAAACCAAAGAAUUUAGAAUAAAAAGCUUGAGUAAGACACAUGUUACCUCUACUCCGAUAAAGGUAAUGUUGGGAUGGGUUUGCAAAGCGCAUUUAAGUAUAACUAGAUAUUGAACCGCGCGCCCGCGCGGGUUUUGAAUUUUUUUCCUUUUUAGAAAUUUUUUUAAUGAGAUUUUAAACACAUAGUUUAUUUAUAUAUUUUAGAUUUUUACAAACCAAUCCGGACCGAGGAUGUUCAAUAUCAAAUUCUUCCAAAUUUUAUAAUAUCUCAAUGAUAUUUAUUUAACUUUAAAACCAUAAACAAUAUCCAAUAAACAAUUCCUAUUCACAAUGAGUAUUUUGAUGUCUAUGUAUAACUGGUUUUGUAAAUUAAUAUUUACAAAAGAAACAAUAUUUUUAGAUUAUUUUGAAAAUUAUUUCUUUUUUCUUUGUACAUAAUAUUAUUUUGAAAUUUUAAUAACAUGUGCAGUUUUCAUUCGAAAAUUUUAUAAGCAUAUAUUUGUUGUACAUGAAUAUUAUUAUAUCAUAAUGGGAACUAAAUAUUGUUUUGCUUUUUUUUGUUAUAUACUAAUUUUUAUACAGUUUCACAUCAUUUUUAUACGAUGUACUUUUUAACCGCAGAUUGUAUGAUAAAUAAAACAAUAGUUAAGUAAAUAAAUGGAAACCUUUUAUUUUCAUAUUAUUUCUAUAUUACUCUUGUACAUUAAUAUAUUUAACUAAAAAACAAUGUACUAUUAUAUAUAUAUAUAUAUAUAUUAUUUUUUAUAACACCCAUUUUAUUGAACUUUACAAUGUAUUUUUUAACCGCAAAUUGUAUGAUAAAUAAAACAAUAGUUAAGUAAAUAUCUGGAGACUUUUUGUUUUCAUGUUAUUUAUAUAUUACUCUUGUACACAAAUAUAUUUAACUAAACAGUGUACAAUAUAUAUAUAUAUACAAUGUACUUUUAAUGCCCAUGUUAUUGAAUUAUACAAUGUACUUUUUAACCGCAAAUUGUAUGAUAAAUAAAACAAUAGUUAAUUAAAUAUAUAGAGACUUUUUAUGUUAUUUCUAUAUUACUCUUGUACACUAAUAUAUUUCACUAACAAUAAUAGGCUAUUAUAUAUAUAUAUAUAUAUAUAUUUGUUUUUUUUAUAACCCAAUUUUAUUGAACUUUAGAGAGAGUUUACAUAAUCUUCAUGAAGAGAAUGUUCAAUUAUUGGAGGAACAUGAUAAUGACAGACAAAUAAAUUGUCAUUUGGGAUUCUUGAUUUAGCUAAAAUGUCUUCCAUUCUAUUUUUUUUUCUUCCACCCCAAGCAAACGAAAUAUCUUCAAACCUUUGUAUCCACCACUGCAAUAUAUAUAUAUAUAUCUAUAUAGAUUACUUAUUUUUGGACACAAGAAAAUUCAUAGUUAUUUCAAUAUUAUAAAAUGAUUUUAUUUUGAUAUAAUAUCUUACUAAUAUAUAUUGAAUGUUUUUUUUGUUAUUGAAUAUAUUUUUUGGUUUAAAUUGAUUAUUAACACAAUAAGAAUUAAAUUAUUAGAAGUUCUACUCGUUUUUAUGUCCAUUUUCAUUUAUUUAUAUACAGUAAAUAUAUAUUUUAAAACUUAAAUUUCAUAUAUAUUGGAAUAUUAUUUUAAUAUUUUUUUUAAUUGUGAAAAAAAUUCAAAUAAUUUAAUGAAUAAAUACAAUAAGUCUUUGAUUGAAAAUAUUGACAAUUAAAUGGAACAGUAGAACAUGUAAUUAGAUCAGUUGGGCCAUAUUUAUAUUUUCAAAUUAGACUAAACCCAACAUUACAAAAAAAAAUUUUGUUUUUUUUAUGAAAAGAGUAAAUGCAUGUACGAUCAGAACCUAACUAAUUAAUAUCUUCCCGUUUUCUCUGUUGAUGUCGGUUCAGUGAAGAUCUCUCAUCUUCUCUCUUUACUCCCACAAAUUUAACAACCGAAAACAAAAACCAUGAAGAUGAUUCAAAUCUAAAGCUCACACUGUUACAAAUUCGAAAGAUUGGUGCUAUUUGUACCAAGUCAGAUUUUAUGUGUGAUUCUCAUAAGAAAUCCAACAGUAUUCAAUCUCCGCUCGGACAUGCAAUUCAAUAUCAGAAGAUUUGAGAAAUUUCAUCUACGCUUUCAGUAUUAACUUAAUACUCAAUAUGAGCUUGAUUGAAGCAAAUUUGACACACAAAGAUAUGGCUAUCUUUUUAGUGUAAGAUAUGAGAACCCUUCUAUUUUUAAAAUUCUGAUUUUGUAUUGUGUCUCAAGAAUAUAUAUAUUACUAAUAAGAAAUUGUAAUUACGUAUGAUGAAAACAUAUAGAAGGAAUUAAGAUAGAAACAUUGUGUUAUCUAUAGUCGUUUGUGGCUUUAGCUCGACUUGAUUAUUGUAGUAGACUUGUAUGAGAUUACCUCUUUUACUAGGUGAUUACCCGCGUCCUGCGCGGAGUGAAUGGGCUAAAAAAUAUUUUAACUUUUAAUCUAUAAGUAUUAGAAUGUAAAAUUCAAAGGCACAAAUAUUACAUAUUAUAUAAUGAACAAUUGAACGAAAUUGUGUAUAUUUUUAAAACGCAAAAUAAAUUGCUUUCAUAAUUAAAAUUAUAAA
This is a long non-coding RNA of Brassica rapa (field mustard), 7252 nucleotides long. RefSeq lists it as uncharacterized. Lineage: Eukaryota; Viridiplantae; Streptophyta; Magnoliopsida; Brassicales; Brassicaceae. The record is from RefSeq and is a predicted model, not a curated record.